UUGAAUCCAAAUGCUUUGAGAUAAUUUGCAUGCCAACCUGUUUUUACAUGACUCCAUUUCUUUAUCUGACAACCAUUAUUCAGGCAUUCGCGGACGACACCACAGUCACAGAUACAAUUUGGGCGAAACACUAAGAUCAGACUUUCCUUGAACUCACACGAGAAAACACGCGGGGCACUAAGGCCAGUCCGCCACCACCCUUAAUACCAUGGCUGGAAGCCUGGAACCGGAGAAGUAAGAAUGGUGUUUGCUUGAGAGGAGGAUGCCGGCGCUAUGGCCUGGUUUGACAGCUUGUCGUGUCAUGUGGGCGCAAUCGCGCGUGCAUGUGUAGUUGACAACUUGAAUUAGCGGAACACAUCGACACACCGUGCUCUGGUACGAUCAGUGGAUGAUUGGAUUGACUAAUGGUACACACGAUUCACGAUUCUUCCGUCAUUCAUUCACUCGUGCACCUCAUGCUUAAUUACAUUGCGCGGGGUUCACUCCACCAUGGUACAAAUCAACACAUAACUAGACAAAGGUACAAGUUGAUCUACGGCGUACAAGUACACAUGCAUGCAUAUAUCGAUCGUCCGAUGGAUGGACCGAUAUAUACUACAGCUAGCUGCUAAUUCUCAUUUAGCUCCCGGGGGCGAAGUUGGUAGCAAAGGCCCAUGCAUUGUUGUUGACUGGGUCGGCGACGUGGUCGAAGAGGUUCUCGACGGGUCCCUUGCCCGUGACGAUGGCCUGCACGAAGAAUCCAAACAUGGAGAACAUGGCGAGGCGGCCGUUCUUGAGCUCCUUGACCUUGAGCUCAGCGGCGGUGUCUGGGUCGUCGGCGAGACCGAGGGGGUCAAAGGCGCCACCGGGGUAGAUCUUGUCGAGCCCCUCACCGAGAGGGCCUCCACCAACACGGUAACCCUCGAUGAAGCCCAUGAGCACAACUUGGCAUGCCCAAAUGGCGAGGAUGCUCUGCGCGUGCACGAGGUUAGGGUUGCCCAGGUAGUCCAGGCCGCCCUCGGAGAAGAUCUGCGAGCCGGCCUUGAACCACACCGCCUCGCCGAACUUGACACCAUUCUUGGAGAG
Molecule: long non-coding RNA, 1065 nt
Filed under: Brachypodium distachyon (stiff brome)
Lineage: Eukaryota; Viridiplantae; Streptophyta; Magnoliopsida; Poales; Poaceae
Description: long non-coding RNA (BDIS_LNC000209)
Source: RNAcentral